UUGUUUGGGCAAGGAAAUGGCAUUAGUGGAGAUGAAAAGUGUUGCUCUUGCAGUACUUGGGUCCUUUACAGUUCGGGUUGUGGAUCCGGAUCAAGCACCAAGAUUUUCCCCGGGUCUUACUGCUACUGUGAGAGGUGGCUUACCAGUUGUGGUCAAAGAAAGAGAGUUUCUUCCACAACCCACCACCAUUGUUAGGCCAUGCAUGUAGCUAAAUGAUCUUUAUAAAUAUGCAUGUUUGUAAUGAUCUAAUGGGUCAAAAAAAUGGCAGCUUUCUGUACAUAUAACUAAGAAGAAGAGCUUCUUUUCUUU
Molecule: unclassified non-coding RNA, 309 nt
Filed under: Hevea brasiliensis (rubber tree)
Lineage: Eukaryota; Viridiplantae; Streptophyta; Magnoliopsida; Malpighiales; Euphorbiaceae
Source: RNAcentral